This 547-nucleotide ribosomal RNA is filed under the name Lysinibacillus boronitolerans. RNAcentral's name for it is "bacterial SSU rRNA". It matches the Rfam family "Bacterial small subunit ribosomal RNA", at positions 57 to 586 of the family's 1533-position model. Lineage: Bacteria; Bacillati; Bacillota; Bacilli; Caryophanales; Bacillaceae. The record is from RNAcentral.
GCAGUCGAGCGAACAGAAAAGGAGCUUGCUCCUUUGACGUUAGCGGCGGACGGGUGAGUAACACGUGGGCAACCUACCCUAUAGUUUGGGAUAACUCCGGGAAACCGGGGCUAAUACCGAAUAAUCUCUUUUGCUUCAGGGUGAAAGACUGAAAGACGGUUUCGGCUGUCGCUAUAGGAUGGGCCCGCGGCGCAUUAGCUAGUUGGUGAGGUAACGGCUCACCAAGGCGACAAUGCGUACCCAACCUGAGAGGGUGAUCGGCCACACGGGGACUGAAACACGGCCCAAACUCCUACGGGAGGCAGCAUUAGGGAAUCUUCCACAAUGGGCGAAAGCCUGAUGGAGCAACGCCGCGUGAGUGAAGAAGGUUUUCGGAUCGUAAAACUCUGUUGUAAGGGAAGAACAAGUACAGUAGUAACUGGCUGUACCUUGACGGUACCUUAUUAGAAAGCCACGGCUAACUACGUGCCAACAGCCGCGGUAAUACGUAGGUGGCAAGCGUUGUCCGGAAUUAUUGGGCGUAAAGCGCGCGCAGGCGGUCCUUUAA